Molecule: ribosomal RNA, 253 nt
Filed under: uncultured bacterium
Lineage: Bacteria
Description: partial 16S ribosomal RNA
Rfam family: Bacterial small subunit ribosomal RNA
Source: RNAcentral
UACGUAGGGACCAAGCGUUGUUCGGAUUUACUGGGCGUAAAGGGCGCGUAGGCGGCAUGACAAGUCACUUGUGAAAUCUCCGGGCUUAACUCGGAACGGUCAAGUGAUACUGUCGCGCUAGAGUGCGGAAGGGGCAAUCAGAAUUCUUGGUGUAGCGGUGAAAUGCGUAGAUAUCAAGAGGAAUACCUGAGGUGAAGACGGGUUGCUAGGCCGACACUGACGCUGAAGCGCGAAAGCCAGAGGAGCAAACGGG